RNAcentral lists this ribosomal RNA (253 nucleotides) under uncultured bacterium. RNAcentral describes it as "partial 16S ribosomal RNA". It matches the Rfam family "Bacterial small subunit ribosomal RNA", at positions 524 to 776 of the family's 1533-position model. The record is from RNAcentral.
UACAGAGGAUGCAAGCGUUAUCCGGAAUGAUUGGGCGUAAAGCGUCUGUAGGUGGCUUUUUAAGUCCGCCGUCAAAUCCCAGGGCUCAACUCUGGACAGGCGGUGGAAACUACCAAGCUGGAGUACGGUAGGGGCAGAGGGAAUUUCCGGUGGAGCGGUGAAAUGCGUAGAGAUCGGAAAGAACACCAGUGGCGAAGGCGGUUGCCUGGAGCUUUGCUGACGCUGAUGCGCGAAAGCGUGGGGAGCGAUCCGG